UACGUAGGGGGCAAACGUUAUCCGGAUUUACUGGGUGUAAAGGGAGCGUAGACGGAAUAGCAAGUCUGAUGUGAAAACCCGGGGCUCAACUCCGGGAGUGCAUUGGAAACUGUUGAUCUAGAGUGUCGGAGAGGCAAGCGGAAUUCCUAGUGUAGCGGUGAAAUGCGUAGAUAUUAGGAGGAACGCCAGUGGCGAAGGCGGCUUGCUGGACGAUGACUGACGUUGAGGCUCGAAAGCGUGGGGAGCAAACAGG
Molecule: ribosomal RNA, 253 nt
Filed under: uncultured bacterium
Lineage: Bacteria
Description: partial 16S ribosomal RNA
Rfam family: Bacterial small subunit ribosomal RNA
Source: RNAcentral